This 477-nucleotide long non-coding RNA is filed under the name Chrysemys picta bellii (western painted turtle). RNAcentral's name for it is "lncRNA (ENSCPBG00000010586.1)". Lineage: Eukaryota; Metazoa; Chordata; Testudines; Emydidae. The record is from RNAcentral.
GGGGGAGUCACUAGUGGCAUGGUUGUCAUGGCAACAGCUGCCUUUGCUAACUGAUUUUCCCCAGACAACCAUGAUACCAUUACAAAGAAGGGUCCGAGGAGGAGCUGCAGUGAGAGCAGUCUGGGGUUGGAUAAGUUCCUGCUUCACUCAUUUGGGUUUGUAUUGGGGUUUGGGUCUGAAAUGUGGAUUCAAAAGAGCAUCCCUCCAAAAAGAAGGGUAAGAGAGCUGCGUCACCACCAUCUUCUGUUUCCAGUUGCCUUAUAAUAGCAGGGUUUCCUGUGAUGCCUUCUAACAGCUGUUAUGUGACUUAUGAGUUUCCAAUGGUUCUCACACUCCAGCAACCAGUAGGUCCUGAGGCUACAUCUAGAUGGAAAAAUGGUAAAGGUGAUCUGAUGUGACGCUGAUACAAUGUUGCGCAAGGUAAAUUAAGUGCAGUUUCUCUAUGAAUGUAAUAUUUCCAUAGCUCUUGAAAAAAAU